GUGUACCACGCGUACACUGCGAUUCCUCCGAGCCGUCCGCACUUACCUGACGACUGCUCGCUACGUUUUGUUAGUC
Molecule: small RNA, 76 nt
Filed under: Xanthomonas fragariae
Lineage: Bacteria; Pseudomonadati; Pseudomonadota; Gammaproteobacteria; Lysobacterales; Lysobacteraceae
Description: sX9 sRNA
Rfam family: Xanthomonas sRNA sX9
Source: RNAcentral